RNAcentral lists this ribosomal RNA (497 nucleotides) under uncultured bacterium. RNAcentral's name for it is "partial 16S ribosomal RNA". It matches the Rfam family "Bacterial small subunit ribosomal RNA", at positions 28 to 507 of the family's 1533-position model. The record is from RNAcentral.
GAUGAACGCUGGCGGCGUGCCUAAUACAUGCAAGUCGAGCGAACGGAGGAGGAGCUUGCUCCUCGGAUGGUAGCGGCGGACGGGGGAGUAACACGUGGAUAACCUACCUAUAAGACGGGGAUAACUUCGGGAAACCGGAGCUAAUACCGGAGGAUAUAUUGAACAGCAUGGUGCAAAAGUGAAAGACGGUGGGGCGGUCACUUAUAGAUGGAUCCGCGCUGCAUUAGCUAGUUGGUAAGGUAACGGCUUACCAAGGCAACGAUGCUUAGCCGACCUGAGAGGGUGAUCGGCCACCCUGGACCUGAGACACGGUCCAGACUCCUACGGGAGGCAGCAGUAGGGAAUCUUCCGCAAUGGGCGAAAGCCUGACGCAGCAACGCCGCGUGAGUGAUGAAGGUCUUCGGAUCGUAAAACUCUGUUAUUAGGGAAGAACAUAUGUGUAAGUAACUAUGCACAUCUUGACGGUACCUAAUCAGAAAGCCCCGGCUAACUACGUG